Transfer RNA from Oikopleura dioica, 72 nucleotides. It matches the Rfam family "tRNA". Rfam says of the family: Transfer RNA (tRNA) molecules are approximately 80 nucleotides in length. Their secondary structure includes four short double-helical elements and three loops (D, anti-codon, and T loops). Further hydrogen bonds mediate the characteristic L-shaped molecular structure. tRNAs have two regions of fundamental functional importance: the anti-codon, which is responsible for specific mRNA codon recognition, and the 3' end, to which the tRNAs corresponding amino acid is attached (by aminoacyl-tRNA synthetases). tRNAs cope with the degeneracy of the genetic code in two manners: having more than one tRNA (with a specific anti-codon) for a particular amino acid; and 'wobble' base-pairing, i.e. permitting non-standard base-pairing at the 3rd anti-codon position. Lineage: Eukaryota; Metazoa; Chordata; Appendicularia; Copelata; Oikopleuridae. The record is from Rfam.
UCCCGCAUGGUCUAGGGGUUAGGAUUCCGGAUUCUCACUCCGGCGGCCCGGGUUCGAUUCCCGGUGCGGGAG